CCCUUAGAUGUCCUGGGCCGCACGCGCGCUACACUGACAUGUUCAACAAGCCUCCUAGUUCGACAGGAUUUGGGAAAUCUUUGAACGCAUGUCGUGAUAGGGAUAGAUCAUUGCAGUUAUUGAUCUUGAACGAGGAAUUCCUAGUAAACGCGAGUCAUCAGCUCGCAUUGAUUACGUCCCUGCCCUUUGUACACACCGCCCGUCGCACCUACCGAUUGAAUGUUUCGGUGAAGAUUCCGGAUAGGACUUUUUUGAUUUAUUUCAAUUUUGUCUUAAAAGCUAUCUAAACCUCAACAUUUAGAGGAAGGUGAAGUCGUAACA
This 321-nucleotide ribosomal RNA is filed under the name uncultured eukaryote. RNAcentral describes it as "partial 18S ribosomal RNA". It matches the Rfam family "Eukaryotic small subunit ribosomal RNA", at positions 1470 to 1796 of the family's 1831-position model. The record is from RNAcentral.